UUUGGACCGGCCUCGCAACCUACAAACCUAUGCCAUGAAAGUGUGUGUGCGCGGGAGCUUCUUUUGUUACAAGAUUCCAUGGCUGUUCUAUCUUCCAUUCAUUGUUGGAAUCGGUGAUCUCGGAAAUUCUUGUUUAAGGAGAUAGAGAGUUAGCUGCCAUCCUUGUCAUGGAAGUUGACGAGAAGCUAGUAGGAACAAUUUCUCUUUUUAAAGUAGCGUUCGUUUAGCCAUAAUGGAAUAGAACUAGGGGAAUUGGAAUUUGAAUUAUCUAAAGAAUUAAGAUGAUGUUUAAAUUUUGAUCAUUUUUCUUAGUAGGAUUAUACAUUAGGAUGAUAGGGUAGGGUUCCAGCGUGAACCUAAUCCCAUGCGUGAACUGCGUGAACUGAUCUGGACCAUUGAUUUCCUUUUAGUUGUUAAGGGUAUGAUUGUAAUUAUAUAAAAAAUUAUAUUUAAAUCAUUAUUUUAAUAAUUGAAUGAAGUUACAUCUU
RNAcentral lists this long non-coding RNA (488 nucleotides) under Helianthus annuus (common sunflower). RNAcentral's name for it is "hypothetical non coding rna". The record is from RNAcentral. Lineage: Eukaryota; Viridiplantae; Streptophyta; Magnoliopsida; Asterales; Asteraceae.